Molecule: ribosomal RNA, 650 nt
Filed under: uncultured Actinomycetes bacterium
Lineage: Bacteria; Bacillati; Actinomycetota; Actinomycetes
Description: bacterial SSU rRNA
Rfam family: Bacterial small subunit ribosomal RNA
Source: RNAcentral
GAACGAUGAAGCGGUGCUUGCACCGUGGAUUAGUGGCGAACGGGUGAGUAAUACGUGAGUGACCUACCUUUGACUCUGGGAUAAGCCUGGGAAACUGGGUCUAAUACCGGAUACGACCAAUCUCUGCAUGGGGUGUUGGUGGAAAGCGUUAUGGAGUGGUUUUAGAUGGGCUCACGGCCUAUCAGCUUGUUGGUGAGGUAAUGGCUUACCAAGGCGACGACGGGUAGCCGGCCUGAGAGGGUGACCGGCCACACUGGGACUGAGACACGGCCCAGACUCCUACGGGAGGCAGCAGUGGGGAAUAUUGCACAAUGGGCGCAAGCCUGAUGCAGCGACGCCGCGUGAGGGAUGACGGCCUUCGGGUUGUAAACCUCUGUUAGCAUCGAAGAAGCGAAAGUGACGGUAGGUGCAGAGAAAGCGCCGGCUAACUACGUGCCAGCAGCCGCGGUAAUACGUAGGGCGCGAGCGUUGUCCGGAAUUAUUGGGCGUAAAGAGCUUGUAGGCGGUUGGUCGCGUCUGCUGUGAAAGGCCGGGGCUUAACUCCGGUUUUGCAGUGGGUACGGGCUAACUAGAGUGCAGUAGGGGAGACUGGAAUUCCUGGUGUAGCGGUGGAAUGCACAGAUAUCAGGAGGAACACCGAUGGCGAAGGC